RNAcentral lists this ribosomal RNA (253 nucleotides) under uncultured bacterium. RNAcentral's name for it is "partial 16S ribosomal RNA". It matches the Rfam family "Bacterial small subunit ribosomal RNA", at positions 524 to 776 of the family's 1533-position model. The record is from RNAcentral.
UACGUAGGGCGCAAGCGUUGUCCGGAUUUAUUGGGCGUAAAGAGCGUGUAGGCGGCUUUACAGGUCCGUUGUGAAAACUCGAGGCUCAACCUCGAGACGCCGGUGGAAACCGUAAAGCUAGAGUCCGGAAGAGGAGAGUGGAAUUCCUGGUGUAGCGGUGAAAUGCGCAGAUAUCAGGAAGAACACCCGUGGCGAAGGCGGCUCUCUGGGACGGUACUGACGCUGAGACGCGCAAGCGUGGGGAGCGAACAGG